RNAcentral lists this ribosomal RNA (119 nucleotides) under Smittium mucronatum. Lineage: Eukaryota; Fungi; Kickxellomycota; Harpellomycetes; Harpellales; Legeriomycetaceae. The record is from RNAcentral.
UCUUACUGCCAUUCACACCAGAAAGCACCAAAUACCGUCAGAUAUUUGAAGUUAAACUGGUGAUGGCUUCUUCAGUACUGCGAUUGGAGACCAGAUGGAAAUAAGUCGUACCCUAAGUC